Long non-coding RNA from Cryptotermes secundus, 451 nucleotides. RefSeq lists it as uncharacterized. The transcript is spliced from 3 exons. NCBI's taxonomy places the organism in Eukaryota, Metazoa, Arthropoda, Insecta, Blattodea, Kalotermitidae. The record is from RefSeq and is a predicted model, not a curated record.
CACUGAUAGAUACCCUGAUAUAAAUAAGCGUUCCGUGGUCUAGUAGUGACUUAGUCUUGCGCAGACACGACUCAGCUAAGCGUACACGUCUGGUUCUUCUACUCCUUAUCGACUAGCAAGUCCGCCCGACAUGGCCCAGUUUCGGCCCGCGAUGUGCCUAGCACUGCUCCUGCUGUGUGUGGCUGCGCUGCGCGCGCAGGAAGGCUGUCCGAAGCCUCAAGGACUGGGAUCCUGCGCAAUAAUAUGCACGGUUGGCCGGCCGUGUGCCUCGCCUUUGCAACUCUGCUGCAGUACGUCCUGCGGGGGCACGUACUGCUACACUCCGCCUGUGCCAGUUUAACCCGCUCCAUCAUAAGGUGAUUCGAGGAAAACACAGAAAGAGACGGAGCAAGAAUCAGAAGACAGUUUGAAAUGUAAAAUGUUGCAGAAAUAAAUAAACGCAUAACGCUCA